GGAGAAGUGCCCAAGUGGUUGAAGGGUCCGCACUCGAAAUGCGGUAGGUCGGCUGAAACCGGCGCGUGGGUUCAAAUCCCACCUUCUCCG
Molecule: transfer RNA, 90 nt
Filed under: Lachnospiraceae bacterium
Lineage: Bacteria; Bacillati; Bacillota; Clostridia; Lachnospirales; Lachnospiraceae
Also listed under: 1 other name
Description: tRNA-Ser
Rfam family: tRNA
About the family: Transfer RNA (tRNA) molecules are approximately 80 nucleotides in length. Their secondary structure includes four short double-helical elements and three loops (D, anti-codon, and T loops).
Source: RNAcentral